Lycium ferocissimum is the source of this 93-nucleotide small nucleolar RNA. The record is from RefSeq and is a predicted model, not a curated record. NCBI's taxonomy places the organism in Eukaryota, Viridiplantae, Streptophyta, Magnoliopsida, Solanales, Solanaceae.
UAUUGCAAUGAAUUAAACAUUUAAUCCCAGCUCUAUGAGACCUUGUUUUAAGGUUUGGGAUUAGACUUCGUUUAAAAAAAAAGGACCUUAAUU